CCAGCAAUGGUCGGGGGAGUCGCGGAACUGCGGAAGGAUCAUUAU
RNAcentral lists this ribosomal RNA (45 nucleotides) under Pyxine sorediata. Its description in RNAcentral is "partial 18S ribosomal RNA". The record is from RNAcentral. Lineage: Eukaryota; Fungi; Ascomycota; Lecanoromycetes; Caliciales; Caliciaceae.